Molecule: long non-coding RNA, 771 nt
Organism: Ornithodoros turicata
Lineage: Eukaryota; Metazoa; Arthropoda; Arachnida; Ixodida; Argasidae
Exons: 3
Source: RefSeq, a predicted model, not a curated record
UGAACUCGGUGUCCUCAGCUGACGGUUGUCCCCCUUCGGUGUCUCCGGUUUCUUUCCCCCACACAGGCACUACACUUCCAACGGAGCAGCUGUUCCUUUGCAACGCUCCCAUGCGAAUACUACGGGACUAUUGGAGGAGAAACUCAAACAUGGACCUGUAAUGCCUCCUUUGUUCGCUCAACUCCCGACGUACGUAAACAAACUUCAAGGACUGAAGCUUAUUACCUACUUAAUUCUCUGAGUUGAACUGCACAGUAUGUGAUGACCAGCAGACAAAAUUAAUUCCGUUUUCAUGAAACAUGUCAAUUUGUGGGUAUACUGAAACAAAUGAACAUAAUUAGGUCGACACCGCAUUCCCGUUACGCUCACUUUGCUCGGGAAACCUCCAUACGUUCGCCAUCCUGGAAGUUCGGGGCGCCACCUGUAGUUCAUUGGAAUCGCGAAUAGUGCUCGCAGAUCUGCCACCACUGACUGCACUGCUGUAGAAGAUGCGGACCCGUUCGCUAAAGAAAAUGAACGUAAACGAUAUGUCGCCGAGCAUGACAGGAAAAGGCAUGCGUCAAAGCGCACUACAGUUGCUGCCGAAGGAGGGGCCGAAAUACGCGUGACGCUGCACCAAUACUAAACUAUACUACUACGUCGAAAUACUUCUUUACCCACCUACUCGUACUGCCGAACCGGGCGCCAAACGUGCACUAGCCGAAGUCGUACGUAAACGUCAGCGCGCAGAAACCCACCGUGUGCACCGAGCUGCACGGUUUGGACAUCGUG